AACGACCAUAAUAUGCUGAAAACAUUAGUUCUCGUUGGAUCAAUGACGUUAAGCGUUAUCGGUAGCGGUUACUACUUGGGACGAUGACCACCUGGGAACACCGUGUGUCGUU
Non-coding RNA from Trichonephila clavata, 112 nucleotides. Lineage: Eukaryota; Metazoa; Arthropoda; Arachnida; Araneae; Nephilidae. The record is from the annotation of a GenBank genome assembly.